GACGGGCCGAUAGCUCAGCUGGGAGAGCGCUGCGUUCGCAAUGCAGAGGUCGGGAGUUCGAUCCUCCUUCGGUCCA
Molecule: transfer RNA, 76 nt
Filed under: Cupriavidus taiwanensis LMG 19424
Lineage: Bacteria; Pseudomonadati; Pseudomonadota; Betaproteobacteria; Burkholderiales; Burkholderiaceae
Description: tRNA-Ala
Rfam family: tRNA
About the family: Transfer RNA (tRNA) molecules are approximately 80 nucleotides in length.
Source: RNAcentral